UUGAACGCUGGCGGCAUGCCUUACACAUGCAAGUCGAACGGUAACAGGUUAAGCUGACGAGUGGCGAACGGGUGAGUAAUGUAUCGGAACGUGCCCAGUCGUGGGGGAUAACUGCUCGAAAGAGCAGCUAAUACCGCAUACGACCUGAGGGUGAAAGCGGGGGAUCGCAAGACCCCGCGCGAUUGGAGCGGCCGAUAUCAGAUUAGGUAGUUGGUGAGGUAAAGGCUCACCAAGCCGACGAUCUGUAGCUGGUCUGAGAGGACGACCAGCCACACUGGGACUGAGACACGGCCCAGACUCCUACGGGAGGCAGCAGUGGGGAAUUUUGGACAAUGGGCGCAAGCCUGAUCCAGCCAUGCCGCGUGCGGGAAGAAGGCCUUCGGGUUGUAAACCGCUUUUGUCAGGGAAGAAAAGGUUCUGGCUAAUACCUGGGACUCAUGACGGUACCUGAAGAAUAAGCACCGGCUAACUACGUG
Molecule: ribosomal RNA, 476 nt
Filed under: uncultured bacterium
Lineage: Bacteria
Description: partial 16S ribosomal RNA
Rfam family: Bacterial small subunit ribosomal RNA
Source: RNAcentral